AUGUGGGCUUAUGGCAAGCCAGAAACAUGGCAGAAGGAUAUGGCAGUUGAAAACUGCUUGCCUCAUAGAGCCAAGAACCAGAGAGAGGGGAAAAGCUAUAAAGGACGGGGCUGGGGACCAGACGUGGUUCCCAAGCCUGUGCUGACUCCGCUGCCCUCUGCAUCUGCCUCCCUGGGACAGACACUAAAACUCACCUGUACCCUGAGCAGUGGCUACAGUAAUUACUAUGUGGACUGGUUCCAGCAGAGCCAGGGGAAGGGCCCUCGGUUUGUGAUGUCAGUGGGUACUAGUGAUAUUGUGGGAUCCAAGGGGAAUGAAAUUUCCAACCGAUUCUCAGUCUCAGGCUCUGGCUUGGAUCAGUACCUGACCAUCCAGAACGUUCAAGAAGAAGAUGAGAAUGUCUACUACUGUGGGGCAGACCACGGCAGUGGCCGUAGCUUUGUAUAA
Cavia porcellus (domestic guinea pig) is the source of this 447-nucleotide non-coding RNA. Lineage: Eukaryota; Metazoa; Chordata; Mammalia; Rodentia; Caviidae. The record is from the annotation of a RefSeq genome assembly.